RNAcentral lists this ribosomal RNA (439 nucleotides) under uncultured bacterium. Its description in RNAcentral is "partial 16S ribosomal RNA". It matches the Rfam family "Bacterial small subunit ribosomal RNA", at positions 339 to 795 of the family's 1533-position model. The record is from RNAcentral.
CUACGGGAUGCACCAGUGGGGAAUAUUGCACAAUGGGGGAAACCCUGAUGUAGCAACGCCGCGUGGAGGAUGACGCAUUUCGGUGUGUAAACUCCUUUUAUAUAGGAAGAUAAUGACGGUACUAUAUGAAUAAGCACCGGCUAACUCCGUGCCAGCAGCCGCGGUAAUACGGAGGGUGCAAGCGUUACUCGGAAUCACUGGGCGUAAAGCGCGCGCAGGCGGCCCCUUAAGUUGGAUGUGAAAGCCUACGGCUUAACCGUAGAACUGCAUCCAAAACUGAGGGGCUAGAGUCUGGGAGGGGAAGAUGGAAUUAGUUGUGUAGGGGUAAAAUCCGUAGAGAUAACUAGGAAUACCAAAAGCGAAGGCGAUCUUCUGGAACAGUACUGACGCUGAGGCGCGAAAGCGUGGGGAGCAAACAGGAUUAGAUACCCGCGUAGUC